Molecule: ribosomal RNA, 253 nt
Filed under: uncultured bacterium
Lineage: Bacteria
Description: partial 16S ribosomal RNA
Rfam family: Bacterial small subunit ribosomal RNA
Source: RNAcentral
UACGGAGGGUCCAAGCGUUGUCCGGAAUCACUGGGUGUAAAGGGUGCGCAGGCGGGCUUGUAAGUCAGGGGUGAAAGCCACCGGCCUAACCGGUGAACUGCCCUUGAUACUGCAAGUCUUGAAUCCAAGAGAGGCUAUCGGAAUUCGUGGUGUAGCGGUGAAAUGCGUAAAUAUCACGAGGAACACCUGAUGCGUAGGCGGAUAGCUGGAUUGGUAUUGACGCUCAGGCACGAAAGCGUGGGGAGCGAACAGG